Molecule: ribosomal RNA, 752 nt
Filed under: uncultured bacterium
Lineage: Bacteria
Description: bacterial SSU rRNA
Rfam family: Bacterial small subunit ribosomal RNA
Source: RNAcentral
GCGUGCUUAACACAUGCAAGUCGAACGAGAAAGUUCCUUCGGGGACGAGUAAAGUGGCGCACGGGUGAGUAACGCGUAGAUAACCUGUCCAGGUGUUCGGGAUAGCCCUUCGAAAGGGGGAUUAAUACCGGAUACGUUAAUCUUUCAUAAGUGAGAUUAAGAAAGGUGGCCUCUAUUUAUAAGCUAUCGCAUUUGGAGGGGUCUGCGUACCAUUAGUUAGUUGGUGGGGUAAUGGCCUACCAAGACAUCGAUGGUUAGCGGGUCUGAGAGGAUGAUCCGUCACACUGGCACUGAAACACGGGCCAGACUCCUACGGGAGGCAGCAGUGAGGAAUAUUGCGCAAUGGGGGCAACCCUGACGCAGCGACGCCGCGUGAGUGAGGAAGGCUUUCGGGUCGUAAAGCUCUGUCAGAAGGGAAGAAAUGUGUAGAGGUUAAUACCCUUUGCAUUUGACGGUACCUUCAAAGGAAGCACCGGCUAACUCCGUGCCAGCAGCCGCGGUAAUACGGAGGGUGCAAACGUUGUUCGGAAUCACUGGGCGUAAAGGGCGCGCAGGCGGUUUGAUUAGUCAGAUGUGAAAGCCCACGGCUUAACCGUGGAAGUGCAUUUGAAACUGUCAGACUUGAGUACCAGAGGGGGUAGUGGAAUUCCCGGUGUAGAGGUGAAAUUCGUAGAUAUCGGGAGGAAUACCGGUGGCGAAGCGACUACCUGGCUGGAUACUGACGCUGAGGCGCGAAAGCGUGGGGAGCAAAC